GGGGAAGUGGCUCAGUGGUAGAGCGCUUGCCUUGCAUGCAUGAGGAGGCCCUGGAUUCCAUCCUCA
RNAcentral lists this transfer RNA (66 nucleotides) under Dipodomys ordii (Ord's kangaroo rat). It matches the Rfam family "tRNA". From Rfam's summary of the family: Transfer RNA (tRNA) molecules are approximately 80 nucleotides in length. Their secondary structure includes four short double-helical elements and three loops (D, anti-codon, and T loops). Lineage: Eukaryota; Metazoa; Chordata; Mammalia; Rodentia; Heteromyidae. The record is from Rfam by way of RNAcentral.